GAUGAACGCUAGCGGCAGGCUUAAUACAUGCAAGUCGUGGGGCAGCGCAGGUAGCAAUACUGGGCGGCGACCGGCAAACGGGUGCGGAACACGUACACAACCUUCCGAGAAGUGGGAGUAGCCCAGAGAAAUUUGGAUUAAUACCCCGUAACAUAACGAUGUGGCAUCACAUUGUUAUUAUAGCUUCGGCGCUUCUUGAUGGGUGUGCGGCUGAUUAGAUAGUUGGCGGGUAACGGCCCACCAAGUCUACGAUCAGUAGCUGAUGUGAGAGCAUGAUCAGCCACACGGGCACUGAGACACGGGCCCGACUCCUACGGGAGGCAGCAGUAAGGAAUAUUGGUCAAUGGACGCAAGUCUGAACCAGCCAUGCCGCGUGAAGGAUUAAAGGUCCUCUGGAUUGUAAACUUCUUUUAUCUGGGACGAAAAAAGGCGAUUCUUCGUCACUUGACGGUACCAGAUGAAUAAGCACCGGCUAACUCCGUGCCAGCAGCCG
This 493-nucleotide ribosomal RNA is filed under the name uncultured bacterium. RNAcentral describes it as "bacterial SSU rRNA". It matches the Rfam family "Bacterial small subunit ribosomal RNA", at positions 28 to 517 of the family's 1533-position model. The record is from RNAcentral.